Molecule: long non-coding RNA, 568 nt
Filed under: Homo sapiens (human)
Lineage: Eukaryota; Metazoa; Chordata; Mammalia; Primates; Hominidae
Description: HSALNT0057078
Source: RNAcentral
AAUCACAUCCUCCCAUAGGAACCAGUGGUCACCCCACCCCGUUUUCCCUACAUGGCCUGCCUCCCACAGUUUCUGCUUUACUCUUUUGCUGAGUGCAAGCUUCAUGUGGCCAUGUGGCUUGCAGUAUCAUCUUCCCUGGCCUGGCUAUCACAGAAAAUGAAAGAAAAUGAAGACUUACUUGAAAACUAUGGCCUCUGAUAUUUAGGUCAGUAGAUGGUAAUUAGAGUGGUUACAGGAAGGGUGAUGUAAAAGGAGACGGUGUGGGUUUCAAGAGGGAGGGGAUUUUGGAGUCAUGGUAAGAAGGCAAAGAUCUGAAAGUGGCAAUAAGAAACAAAAAGACUGUCAGCCAUCCCUUCUGGAUUCAAGAAAUAAAAAAGAGAGAUAAUUGUGGCUUUUCUUUGAACUUUAUAACCUGCUAUUAAGCUGUUUGCUUUCUCAAUGUCACUUGUUUCCCUAACGCAUACAUCAGACUUGAAGGAAAUUUGUAUUCCUUUACAGGAGGCUGCCUUUCUGAAGGAGUCCUCUUCUAAGGACUGAGUAGAGGAAGCUGUGAUUUAUACCUUACAAA